Molecule: ribosomal RNA, 1552 nt
Filed under: Vibrio parahaemolyticus
Lineage: Bacteria; Pseudomonadati; Pseudomonadota; Gammaproteobacteria; Vibrionales; Vibrionaceae
Description: bacterial SSU rRNA
Rfam family: Bacterial small subunit ribosomal RNA
Source: RNAcentral
AAAUUGAAGAGUUUGAUCAUGGCUCAGAUUGAACGCUGGCGGCAGGCCUAACACAUGCAAGUCGAGCGGAAACGAGUUAUCAGAACCUUCGGGGAACGAUAACGGCGUCGAGCGGCGGACGGGUGAGUAAUGCCUAGGAAAUUGCCCUGAUGUGGGGGAUAACCAUUGGAAACGAUGGCUAAUACCGCAUGAUGCCUUCGGGCCAAAGAGGGGGACCUUCGGGCCUCUCGCGUCAGGAUAUGCCUAGGUGGGAUUAGCUAGUUGGUGAGGUAAGGGCUCACCAAGGCGACGAUCCCUAGCUGGUCUGAGAGGAUGAUCAGCCACACUGGAACUGAGACACGGUCCAGACUCCUACGGGAGGCAGCAGUGGGGAAUAUUGCACAAUGGGCGCAAGCCUGAUGCAGCCAUGCCGCGUGUGUGAAGAAGGCCUUCGGGUUGUAAAGCACUUUCAGUCGUGAGGAAGGUAGUGUAGUUAAUAGCUGCAUUAUUUGACGUUAGCGACAGAAGAAGCACCGGCUAACUCCGUGCCAGCAGCCGCGGUAAUACGGAGGGUGCGAGCGUUAAUCGGAAUUACUGGGCGUAAAGCGCAUGCAGGUGGUUUGUUAAGUCAGAUGUGAAAGCCCGGGGCUCAACCUCGGAAUUGCAUUUGAAACUGGCAGACUAGAGUACUGUAGAGGGGGUAGAAUUUCAGGUGUAGCGGUGAAAUGCGUAGAGAUCUGAAGGAAUACCGGUGGCGAAGGCGGCCCCCUGGACAGAUACUGACACUCAGAUGCGAAAGCGUGGGGAGCAAACAGGAUUAGAUACCCUGGUAGUCCACGCCGUAAACGAUGUCUACUUGGAGGUUGUGGCCUUGAGCCGUGGCUUUCGGAGCUAACGCGUUAAGUAGACCGCCUGGGGAGUACGGUCGCAAGAUUAAAACUCAAAUGAAUUGACGGGGGCCCGCACAAGCGGUGGAGCAUGUGGUUUAAUUCGAUGCAACGCGAAGAACCUUACCUACUCUUGACAUCCAGAGAACUUUCCAGAGAUGGAUUGGUGCCUUCGGGAACUCUGAGACAGGUGCUGCAUGGCUGUCGUCAGCUCGUGUUGUGAAAUGUUGGGUUAAGUCCCGCAACGAGCGCAACCCUUAUCCUUGUUUGCCAGCGAGUAAUGUCGGGAACUCCAGGGAGACUGCCGGUGAUAAACCGGAGGAAGGUGGGGACGACGUCAAGUCAUCAUGGCCCUUACGAGUAGGGCUACACACGUGCUACAAUGGCGCAUACAGAGGGCGGCCAACUUGCGAAAGUGAGCGAAUCCCAAAAAGUGCGUCGUAGUCCGGAUUGGAGUCUGCAACUCGACUCCAUGAAGUCGGAAUCGCUAGUAAUCGUGGAUCAGAAUGCCACGGUGAAUACGUUCCCGGGCCUUGUACACACCGCCCGUCACACCAUGGGAGUGGGCUGCAAAAGAAGUAGGUAGUUUAACCUUCGGGGGGACGCUUACCACUUUGUGGUUCAUGACUGGGGUGAAGUCGUAACAAGGUAGCGCUAGGGGAACCUGGCGCUGGAUCACCUCCUUA